GGGGAAGGUGUGAAAACACGUACCAAAACAGAGAAUAAAAAUUGCAAUAAAAUUCGCUGUCACUGCUCUCCAUUCAGGUCCUUCUAGAUGGUAAGUGUGCUAUCAGUGUGUUAUAGCAGACAACUGGCAUCUAAGCUGAGAACCGAGAGACGAGUCAGCAGAAGCCUGGCACAAUCCAAGGAAACUUGAAUGUCCUAUCGAUUUUGAAACGAUAUUAAGACACAAGGAGUGUUACCUGGGGCGUGUUGCACAGGUACCGAAGCAGUUCACCAAUGUACUGGAUGACAGUGACAUUGUACUUCCUGCAGUCAUCCCAAAACU
Molecule: non-coding RNA, 321 nt
Organism: Myodes glareolus (Bank vole)
Lineage: Eukaryota; Metazoa; Chordata; Mammalia; Rodentia; Cricetidae
Source: RefSeq, a predicted model, not a curated record